ACACGUAGGGGGCGAGCGUUGUCCGGAAUUACUGGGCGUAAAGGGCGUGUAGGCGGCAGAUCAAGUCAGGUGUGAAAAAUCAGGGCUUAACCCUGAUCGUGCACUUGAAACUGGUUGGCUUGAGUGCAGGAGAGGAAAGUGGAAUUCCCAGUGUAGCGGUGAAAUGCGUAGAUAUUGGGAGGAACACCAGUGGCGAAGGCGACUUUCUGGACUGCAACUGACGCUGAGGCGCGAAAGCUAGGGGAGCAAACAGGAUUAGAUACCCUGGUAGUCCUAGCCGUAAACGAUGGGUACUAGGUGUAGGGGGUUUAGACGCCCGCUGUGCCGCAGUUAACACAUUAAGUACCCCGCCUGGGGAGUACGGCCGCAAGGCUGAA
Molecule: ribosomal RNA, 377 nt
Filed under: uncultured bacterium
Lineage: Bacteria
Description: bacterial SSU rRNA
Rfam family: Bacterial small subunit ribosomal RNA
Source: RNAcentral